Molecule: long non-coding RNA, 290 nt
Filed under: Solanum tuberosum (potato)
Lineage: Eukaryota; Viridiplantae; Streptophyta; Magnoliopsida; Solanales; Solanaceae
Description: long non-coding RNA (STUB_LNC002552)
Source: RNAcentral
UUUUUUUGGGAUUUACCUAAUAUUCAACCAUUUUUGUGCAGUUACGAAAAGAAGUAAAGUUUUGUUCUGUUAUUCGUCACGACAUUCUAAGGUCAUUGGUGCAAGUCGAUAUUUUUUUGAAGCAUUUUUUGUAUUGUUUAUGUGUGUUUCUUGAUUUUUCGGCCAUUUUGGGGAAUUUACGUAAUAUUCUGCCAUUUUCGGGCAGUUACGAAAAUAAGUAAUGUUUUGUUAUGUUAUCUAUCGUCAUUGGUGCAAGUCGAAUUUUAUAUGAUGCAUUUUUUGUUUUGUUU